RNAcentral lists this transfer RNA (68 nucleotides) under Canthidermis maculata (spotted oceanic triggerfish). RNAcentral describes it as "tRNA-Ser(AGY)". Lineage: Eukaryota; Metazoa; Chordata; Actinopteri; Tetraodontiformes; Balistidae. The record is from RNAcentral.
GAGAGAUGCUCGCAGCAACAAAGACUGCUAACCUUUGCCCCCUUGGUUAAACUCCAAGGAUCACUCGC